UGGGAGCUCUCCCAUAUGGUCGACCUGCAGGCGGCCGCGAAUUCACUAGUGAUUAGAGUUUGAUCAUGGCUCAGAACGAACGCUGGCGGCAGGCUUAACACAUGCAAGUCGAACGGGCGUAGCAAUACGUCAGUGGCGGACGGGUGAGUAACACGUGGGAAUAUGCCUUUCGGUUCGGAACAACUCGGGGAAACUCGUGCUAAUUCCGGAUACGCCCUUACGGGGAAAGAUUUAUCGCCGAAAGAUUGGCCCGCGUCUGAUUAGCUAGUUGGUGAGGUAACGGCUCACCAAGGCGACGAUCAGUAGCUGGUCUGAGAGGAUGAUCAGCCACAUUGGGACUGAGACACGGCCCAAACUCCUACGGGAGGCAGCAGUGGGGAAUAUUGGACAAUGGGCGCAAGCCUGAUCCAGCCAUGCCGCGUGAGUGAUGAAGGCCCUAGGGUUGUAAAGCUCUUUUGUGCGGGAAGAUAAUGACGGUACCGCAAGAAUAAGCCCCGGCUAACUUCGUGCCAGCAGCCGCGGUAAUACAAUCGAAUUCCCGCGGCCGCCAUGGCGCCCGCAAGCAUGCGACGU
This 573-nucleotide ribosomal RNA is filed under the name uncultured Alphaproteobacteria bacterium. RNAcentral describes it as "bacterial SSU rRNA". It matches the Rfam family "Bacterial small subunit ribosomal RNA", at positions 1 to 561 of the family's 1533-position model. Lineage: Bacteria; Pseudomonadati; Pseudomonadota; Alphaproteobacteria. The record is from RNAcentral.